This 5155-nucleotide long non-coding RNA is filed under the name Lactuca sativa (garden lettuce). RNAcentral's name for it is "long non-coding RNA (LSAT_LNC003548)". Lineage: Eukaryota; Viridiplantae; Streptophyta; Magnoliopsida; Asterales; Asteraceae. The record is from RNAcentral.
GACCGAUCUAACUUAUGAUGUUGGCUCGGGAGCGGUCCAGCUUAUAGUUGAAGGCUCAAGUGGAGAUCCAGCCUCGUGUUGUUGGCCUUGUGUUCAUAUUUAUGGGGAACUCACUAAUCGUUGUUCUUACAGUUUUUGGUUUAACAUUUUUCAGGUACUUCCAGUUCCAAAGGAAGUGCCCGACUUGACUGCACAUCAUCCCAUAGAGUUUACUCUGUAUCGGCUAUUUUUGAUUUCUACUUUGAUAUUUAAAUGAUUUAUUUCACUUGGAUUGGUUUUGGAACAAAUUGUUGUAUGGGUUUAAUGUUUAAAAAAGAAAAUUUUACUAUGAAUUUUUAGGGACGUGACAAGUUGGUAUCAGAGCCUUGAUUUCAGGGAUUCGGGCACACUCUUGGGUGUGUCUAAAAUCAAAAUGAGGAAUUGUCGAUCAUUUCAAAAGAAAAUAGUUUUUAUAAAAGAUUUUAUUACAAAAGAAAGGGGUGCGAUGCGUGCAAUCAAGCGAGCUCAAGUAAGGGAUUCCCAGAAUAUGUAUACAUGAUGAUAUUUUUUAUGUUAUGGAAUGUUUGGAUGCUAGGAUAAGGCUAUGGUUACCUUCAGGAAUUGCAUGAUAGAAUGGCCUAAUUUUUGAUGCUUUGUAGCCUAGAAGAAAUUAGAUGUUAUCCCUUAUUUGGAAUUUAUGUUGGUGGAAUAAUUUGCUAAGUGUAUGUUUAAAAAAAUUGUAUACGGUUAGAAUCAUUUAUUCGAAAGUCUAUUUUAUCCUGUAUCGUAUAUAAUUUGCAUGCAUAAGGCAACCAGUAGUGUUGGUAGAACUUCCUAGCAUCACAGGAGCAAGUUAGUUGGAGGAUGCCUUUUAUGUUUUGUGGCCUAUAGUGUAUUACUUCCCGAAUGGUGCUCGCUUUGUGAUUUGUGGGGCCCCUAUCGAUGUAAGCUAACUGUUAAAUGAAAUUGUUCAGUUACAUAUUGCAAGGGUUAGAUUGUUCUAGAAUGAUUGAUUUGGACCUAUUGCGCAGCUCUCGUCUGAAUUUAACCGUUGUAGGGUUGGGUCAUUUAUUCGAAAUAUUAUUUAUGUUUUUUCGCUUGUAAUAGUAUUCAUGAAGUAGCUAGUUGACAUUAGUAGGAGUUCUUCAGUAGCUAAUGGCAAGGUGAGGUGAGGAUCCUAAGAGAGCCUAGGAAGUGCUUUAGUACGAGUAGAGCAUUGUUUAGCGGAUGUUGGGAGUAUCGUUAUAAGGAGGUGACUUAGAGGAUCCAGGAUGAUUCUUGAGGAAAGUAUAGAUAGGUGUGGAAGGUAGUAUUGGGCCCGUAGUACUGAAAGCACAUGAUCUAUACUCAAAUCGAGGAGAAUCACGGUGAAUCCAAGUAAUUGGUGGAGGAAAGUACGGGGAAUGAUGUUGGGGUUUAUAAUUAGCACGUAUAAUUUGAUAACAUAAUGAGGAAACUUAAAUUUUAUGAUGACAUUUUUUUCUUUGUUUGGUAAAAUGUCGAUGUUUGGGUGGGAACCAGAUUUCUCUAGGAUUGGUGCGGGCAAAGAAGAACUAUGCGACUGGAUUGCCGCUGUGGUUUCACUGAUUUUAUUGGAAGAGUUUCUUGGUAUCAUUGUUCAGAUCUCUAAUAGGUUGGUUGUCAAGAUUAAGGAGCUGACUGUAGUUACUCGGACUGUGAAAGAGGGUACUACGAUGACUAGGGAGGGAGAUCUCGAAGUGGGAACGCGGCAAGGGAAAAGAAAUCAGGCACAUGAUUAAGCACUUCCGGUGAUGAGCGAGGAGUUCUAUGUGGCUAGCUUGGGUAUUGGAAGAUGGGGGGACCUCGAAAUUUGCAGCAACUAUGUAGGAACCCACGGGUUUGCUUUCCAAAAGUUCAAAUGCUAUAAAUAUGGAGAGGAGGGGCAAAUCAUGCAAAUUUGCAAAAAGGAGCUGGUAUGUUUUCACUGUCACCAGCUGGUCAUUUAAAAUCCGACUGUCCUGCGUGGGUCGUAGAAGGAGUGCAGACCCCAACACCUAUUGUCCGACAGGUGGUCAAGGUUGAGCCGCAGGAAACUACUAGUAUGUAUUUUGACCUUUAUUUUAUCUAAAUUGGACAUGUUCUUGUUUAGUAGAUUAGAGCUAUUAUUUGUACAUUAGUAGAUUUCAAUGGAUCUGUGAUUCAGUCCUCAGAGUUCCUAAUAAAUCAUUGGUACAUAGAUCGCUCUCAUUGGGUUUCAAGUUGUAAUAUUGGAAAGUUUCGGAUGUCACAUCUAAGGAUUGCAGUCUAUUUAUGAUCGUCUGGUAUUUAUUAAUCGAGGAAUCUCCCAUAUGCCAUUUUGCAUAUUGAGAAUAAUGAUUGAAGGGUAUCUCGUUGAGCCAGUUCUAUGCAUCAGUCUGGGGGUGACGUCCAGUUAUAAAAUACACCCUAGGUAGAGUGCAGUCAAAUCCAAGUUGGGGGGGGGGAGGGGUUGCAUGGGUUAAUAGGUAUGUUUUAAAGCAUGAAUCAAUGUGUAAUUAUUUAUCCUGGGUCAGUGGAAGAGCCAGUUCUGGUUGUGGUAUGAGUCGGGUGGUAUGAGUCGGGGUUUAAGACAGUAAUACUGUUAAUUGUUCGGUUGUAAUCAGGGAGGAAAAUGUUGAGGGUGCAGGUUAUCUCGUCUGAAGUCAUGAAGCAUCAGUAGCGACACUUUAUGGGUUCAUGGUUAGGUUUAGGGCGAGGGUUGUUCUAACGCCCAAAUUUUUAUCACCAGGUAUACCCCAAAAUACAUUCCAUAAUUAAAAAAAUGUUUACAGAAUGUUUUGGUAUACACUGGCACACUGGAGCACAAGAAGCGAUCACAAGGAUCAUGCUGGCAGCAAGCAUAUGAUCAAGUCGGGCAUUACAAUCUUUAACCUGCAAACAUUUAAUUACAAACAAACAAUGUAAGCCUCACGGCUUAGUGAAUAACAACUAAAAUAACAUAAACACAUAAUCCAUAUAAUAAAUAAUCCAUCAGGUAGAUAUAUUCACAAUAUCUACUAAGAGAUCUAGCAUAGACCUUUUUGCAUGAUAAUCUCAUGCUUAGUAAAGCACUAAGCCCAAACCUGUCAAAUGAUACUAUCUCCAAUCCGAGAUAAGCAUAAACCAAUAUAAAAAUAAUUUAUUUUAACCAAUUUAAUUAAUCAAAUAUGUUAUCUCCAAUCCGAGAUAACAUAUUCAAAUAAUUAUACCAUCCUAAGGUAUCAUGUAAGGUCAUAAUAAUCACCAAUACACAUAUACCAAAAUGUGCAGGUGCCAACAACAACAAAUGUUAGAGUAGUGUUACUCACCUGAUCACUUGGUUGACACACUACUUCGGUCAUUGACCUAUACAUCAUUCCCGUCCGUCACAAACCGGUACCUAACUAACAAUUUCCAAGUUCCAUAGAACCUGUUAUAAUUUACCCUUAACUACACCCCGUGACUAUUUGUCACCAAGCUCAUUAAAUACAAUAAUAUAUCAAUACUAGGGUUAACCCGAUGAGCCAAUAACCAAUCUACCAUAUUGGGACAUUUCAGUAGAUUAGGUUUUAUAACCUUGAAAGUCCCAACUAACUAUCUUACCAUGAGAUUUACUUACAAAUCUCACCAACAGGUCUAUAACAACACCGUAUCACAGAUACAAGUAUAUGUACAUAACAUAUACUCAAAUCUAUCCAAUCCCGACAAUAAUGUUGUAUAAAACAAUUACAUAAUAAUGGGGUAAAUUAUACCUCCGCGAGCCCCAUGUCUCACGUAUAACAACACAAAUCACUUUAUACGAUAUCCCGCAACCGAAUCUCGGCAGCGGUUCACUUACGUGAACAAGAACCUUCCAAAUAACACUAAAACACUUGUUUUUAUAGUCUGCAAGCUCUCACAUCGUGAGAAUUAUAAGCUCACAUCAUGAGCAGUGUCCAGACAUGGUCCAGCCACGCGUCGCACUCUCCCACCAUGUGUCUCGUCAAUUCAUCGCAUCUCACGUCGUGAGAAUCACUUGCUUACGUCGUGAGAGUUAAAUUUCACGUCGUGACAAUCAUGAUUCACGUCGUGGUGGUCAAAGGUUGACCUGUUACGAAAAACCAGGUGUCACAAGUCUUCCCCACUUCAAUAGAUUCCGUCCCAUGAAUCUCCUAAAGUCUCGUGCAAUAAUCAAGAAUUCCAUUAACUUAUAGUCCUUCCAAGAAGAACUAUUGAAUCACAUUCUCCACUACAAUUGCAUAAAAAUGCAUGGUUGUACAUUAUAUUAUCACAAUAUUAGUAUAAAUGUCCCAUACAUUUACACUACAAUACGCAUAUAUCUUCAUCAACAAUGAUAACCAUUUUCAAUACAAAAUGGUUAUGAGAUAUCAAUUACCAUCAAAUUUCUACAUAUCAUAUUAAAAUUCCUUUCAAUUAUUAACACUUUUCCUUGUGCCUCACAAUCGACUAACAUUUAUUGUAAGAAGUUCAUAACACAAAAAAAUCUCACAUAAUAAGGAUAGGAACGUAUUCACUGUCCCUAAAUAAUUCUACUUAAUCAUAAAUUUUAUUUACUGUCAUCGUAUUCUUCACAAAAAGUAGUACUUACUUACUACCUAAUUAAAAACCAACUAUUUCUAUUUACCGUUCUCAACUAUCACCAGGUACUCGAUUUAGGACUCCUUCCAAGUCAGGUGAGUUUUCCUCACUAUACUCGUGGGUCGAAGGCACCAAUGCCAACCCCUAUAUUAUGUUGUCUAUCCCUGUGUAUAGGAUUGCUAUGCUAUAGUGAUAUGUUAGAUUCGUAGAUGUGUAUGAUUACCUGUACUGUAUGAUUAUUUGUUUAUGUACAUAUGUCGACAUAUUGUAGUUAGGGUAAGGCGGUCCUGGUUUGUGCUGAAGGCCAAGAUACCUGGGAUGGUCCAGCUGAUACUGUAAGCCCAAGGGACCGAUCUAACUUAUGAUGUUGGCUCGGGAGCGGUCCAGCUUAUAGUUGAAGGCUCAAGUGGAGAUCCAGCCUCGUGUUGUUGGCCUUGUGUUCAUAUUUAUGGGGAACUCACUAAUCGUUGUUCUUACAGUUUUUGGUUUAACAUUUUUCAGGUACUUCCAGUUCCAAAGGAAGUGCCCGACUUGACUGCACAUCAUCCCAUAGAGUUUACUCUGUAUCGGCUAUUUUUGAUUUCUACUUUGAUAUUUAAAUGAUUUAUUUCACUUGGAUUGGUUUUGGAACAAAUUGUUG